CGUGUAGGCGGACUGGAAGGUCUGGUGUGAAAGCCCGGGGCUCAACCCCGGAGGGUCACUGGAAACCAACAGUCUUGAGUCCGGAAGAGGAGAGUGGAAUUCCUGGUGUAGCGGUGGAAUGCGCAGAUAUCAGGAGGAACACCAAUGGCGAAGGCAGCUCUCUGGUACGUGACUGACGCUGAGACGCGAAAGCGUGGGUAGCAAACA
This 207-nucleotide ribosomal RNA is filed under the name uncultured bacterium. Its description in RNAcentral is "partial 16S ribosomal RNA". It matches the Rfam family "Bacterial small subunit ribosomal RNA", at positions 568 to 774 of the family's 1533-position model. The record is from RNAcentral.